GCCUCGGAGGGAUCAUUACUGAGUUACCGCUCUAUAACCCUUUGUGAACAUACCUACAACUGUUGCUUCGGCGGGUAGGCCGUCCCCUGAAAAGGACGCCUCCCGGCCCGGACCGGACCCCCCGCGGGACCGGACCCGGCGCCCGCCGGAGGAUAACCAAACUCUAUUGUAACGACGUUUCUUCUGAGUGGCAUAAGCAAAAUAAUCAAAACUUUUAACAACGGAUCUCUUGGUUCUGGCAUCGAUGAAGAACGCAGCGAAAUGCGAUAAGUAAUGUGAAUUGCAGAAUUCAGUGAAUCAUCGAAUCUUUGAACGCACAUUGCGCCCGCCAGCAUUCUGGCGGGCAUGCCUGUUCGAGCGUCAUUUCAACCCUCAAGCUCUGCUUGGUGUUGGGGCUCUACGGUCGACGUAGGCCCUCAAAGGUAGUGGCGGACCCUCCCGGAGCCUCCUUUGCGUAGUAACAUUUCGUCUCGCACUGGGAUCCGGAGGGACUCUUGCCGUAAAACCCCCCAAUUUUCCAAAGGUUGACCUCGGAUCAGGUAGGAAUACCCGCUGAACUUAAGCAUAUCAUA
This 572-nucleotide ribosomal RNA is filed under the name Colletotrichum boninense. RNAcentral describes it as "eukaryotic LSU rRNA". The stretch from base 210 to 363 matches the Rfam family "5.8S ribosomal RNA". The record is from RNAcentral. Lineage: Eukaryota; Fungi; Ascomycota; Sordariomycetes; Glomerellales; Glomerellaceae.